GGACAGGUGGCCGAGCGGCUAAUGGCAACAGACUGUAAAUCUGUCGCUCCUUGCGAGCUACGGAGGUUCGAAUCCUCCCCUGUCCACCA
Molecule: transfer RNA, 89 nt
Filed under: Acidobacteriota bacterium
Lineage: Bacteria; Pseudomonadati; Acidobacteriota
Also listed under: 3 other names
Description: tRNA-Tyr
Rfam family: tRNA
About the family: Transfer RNA (tRNA) molecules are approximately 80 nucleotides in length. Their secondary structure includes four short double-helical elements and three loops (D, anti-codon, and T loops).
Source: RNAcentral